UUACGAUCACAUCACAUUGAAACAGCAGUUCUCGGACGAUCAACCGGAGUUAAGCAACGCCGGGCCUGGUCAGUACCUAGAUGGGUGACCGUUUGUGAAUACCAGGUGCUAUAA
This is a non-coding RNA of Acanthosepion pharaonis, 114 nucleotides long. The record is from the annotation of a GenBank genome assembly. NCBI's taxonomy places the organism in Eukaryota, Metazoa, Mollusca, Cephalopoda, Sepiida, Sepiidae.